AUCUCAGCUCACUGCAACCUCCACCUCCUGGAUUCAAGUGAUUCUCCUGCCUCAGCUUCCCAGGUAGGCCUCAGCCUCCCAAAGUGCUAGGAUUACAGGUGUGAGCCAUAGCACCUAGCCUUAAUUGGCUUUUAUUUGUUAUUCUAGAAUUGGGCAAUAGAAUGAGUGUCCCGAUUUGCUGAACAGAGGAGGCUGGUUUUACAGAUGGAGAAGGCUGACAAAGCAGAAACAGAACAAAAAGUGGAUUGGUUAUUUCAAAGUGACUUUCAGCUGUGUGCAGUGGCUCACACCUGUAAUCCCAGCACUUUGGGAGGCCGAGGCGGGUGGAUCACCU
This 334-nucleotide long non-coding RNA is filed under the name Homo sapiens (human). RNAcentral's name for it is "non-protein coding lnc-TOR2A-2:1". The record is from RNAcentral. Lineage: Eukaryota; Metazoa; Chordata; Mammalia; Primates; Hominidae.